Olea europaea var. sylvestris is the source of this 714-nucleotide long non-coding RNA. RefSeq lists it as uncharacterized. The transcript has 3 exons. NCBI's taxonomy places the organism in Eukaryota, Viridiplantae, Streptophyta, Magnoliopsida, Lamiales, Oleaceae. The record is from RefSeq and is a predicted model, not a curated record.
AACGGCUAAACCCAUUCCCCAAUUCAAUUAUUCAAUUUUUCGUUCAAAUUCUCUCCUGCUCCCGUCACCGACUCACCGUGUGCCGCCUGACCUUCCUCCACUCCGCCGCCGGUCACUUCUUUUUCUGAAGUCUCAAACUCCGUGACUCUGUAAUUCAUCUGUGUUGCUGUGUCGUGCCGUGCGUCCCUGUUUGUUCAACCGUGAGGUGCCAGGCUCUGAUUGGUAAUUGGUAAAGCUCUUCAAUUGCUCGAACUCGAAGCGGCACCGCCACUGCCUAUACUGUCGAGCACGGAAUUAACCAUACUCAACGUUUAUGGAAGGUUGCCGGUUACUUUUCGAAGUAGAUAUAUUUUCGGCAUUUUGAUUGUCGUUGAUGUCCAGGAAAGACUGAAGUCUCCAGUAAACAAGAAAUGUGGCAACGCAGAUUAAUUUCAAUAAGAAUCAGGGUUUUUAUACAAUUUCAUGUUGAUUAGUCUAGCUUCCAUUCGAAUUUUCCUUGGUUUUUGAUCAAUAACGAGAAUUGGAGAAUUAAAAUGAAUUAAUCAAUCGAGUCAGAUUCCUAAUGCAUGUCUAGAUUAGAUGUUGGAAUAUAGUGGUGUUAAUGAAACUGGAUUAUCACAUACCGUAUACGUAGUUUAGAUACCGAUUUUGAAUAUACCAUAUAUGCAAUAUAUCGUAUAUGCAGCUUACUGUAUUUGCAGGCAGUUUAUCGUA